ACCCUCCGGUUCCCUUUCCCAUUGGAUCUGCACACUGGUCUUGGUGGUCAUAAAAGGAGGAAAAGGAACACUGAAGCUGGCCUCCCAGUGCUUAUAGUA
Suricata suricatta (meerkat) is the source of this 99-nucleotide small nucleolar RNA. The record is from Ensembl. NCBI's taxonomy places the organism in Eukaryota, Metazoa, Chordata, Mammalia, Carnivora, Herpestidae.